UGGGGAAUUUUGGACAAUGGGCGAAAGCCUGAUCCAGCAAUGCCGCGUGUGUGAAGAAGGCCUUCGGGUUGUAAAGCACUUUUGUCCGGAAAGAAAUCCUUGGCUCUAAUACAGUCGGGGGAUGACGGUACCGGAAGAAUAAGCACCGGCUAACUACGUGCCAGCAGCCGCGGUAAUACGUAGGGUGCAAGCGUUAAUCGGAAUUACUGGGCGUAAAGCGUGCGCAGGCGGUUUGCUAAGACCGAUGUGAAAUCCCCGGGCUCAACCUGGGAACUGCAUUGGUGACUGGCAGGCUAGAGUAUGGCAGAGGGGGGUAGAAUUCCACGUGUAGCAGUGAAAUGCGUAGAGAUGUGGAGGAAUACCGAUGGCGAAGGCAGCCCCCCUGGGCCAAAUACUGACGCUCAUGCACGAAAGCGUGGGGAGCAAACAGGAUUAGAUACCCUGGUAGUCCACGCCCUAAACGAUGUCAACUAGUUGUUGGGGAUUCAUUUCCUAGUAACGUAGCUAACGCGUGAAGUUGACCGCCUGGGGAGUACGGUCGCAAGAUUAAAACUCAAAGGAAUUGACGGGGUCAUAGCUGUUUCCU
Molecule: ribosomal RNA, 586 nt
Filed under: uncultured bacterium
Lineage: Bacteria
Description: partial 16S ribosomal RNA
Rfam family: Bacterial small subunit ribosomal RNA
Source: RNAcentral